This is a long non-coding RNA of Lemur catta (Ring-tailed lemur), 263 nucleotides long. RefSeq lists it as uncharacterized. The transcript is spliced from 3 exons. NCBI's taxonomy places the organism in Eukaryota, Metazoa, Chordata, Mammalia, Primates, Lemuridae. The record is from RefSeq and is a predicted model, not a curated record.
UGAUCCUUCUGCCUCAGCCUCCUGAGUAGCUGGGACCACAGAUUUCAGUCUUUCCAUAAUUGUGGCCCUUGUGGCAAUCCAUUGGGAACUGAUGAUUUUGAAUAGAAGGGGAGCUUGCAUAACAUCCUAUAUACUCCAGGACAGGAUCCUGGUAAAGGUCAAGUGCCUGGGCACAAAAAAGCCUAUAUAUACUAUGGACAUCAUUUACUCAACUUGCCCCAUGGAAAGCGUGGUCACUGGUCUGUAUUGGCUGAUAUAUUGAC